RNAcentral lists this ribosomal RNA (420 nucleotides) under Triticum aestivum (bread wheat). RNAcentral describes it as "partial small subunit ribosomal RNA". The record is from RNAcentral. Lineage: Eukaryota; Viridiplantae; Streptophyta; Magnoliopsida; Poales; Poaceae.
AUGGCCGCCGUGAAGAAGGUGGUGGUGAAGCUGGACCUGCGCGACGACACGCGGAAGCGCAAGGCGAUCAAGGCCGUCUCCGCUCUCUGUGGUAUCGAGGAGAUCGCCGUGGACAUGAAGGAGGAGAGGAUGACGGUCGUGGGCACGGUCGACCCCGUCGACGUCGUCCGCAAGCUGCGCAAGCGCUUCUGCAUGGUGCAGAUGGUCUCCGUCGGCCUGGCCAAGGAGGAGAAGAAGAAUGGGGACAAGAAGCAGGAAGGCGAUAAGACGGAUGGAAACAAGGAGAAGAAGAAGAACAGCGACACCAAGGACGUCCCGCCGUGGUGCCCGCCGCACUGUUACCCGCUGCCUCACCACCACCCUCACCCGUGCUGCUUCCUCCACACCGAGGAGAACCCCAGCGCGUGCGUCAUCUGCUGA